Brassica oleracea var. oleracea is the source of this 124-nucleotide microRNA precursor. It matches the Rfam family "MIR9563 microRNA precursor family". Lineage: Eukaryota; Viridiplantae; Streptophyta; Magnoliopsida; Brassicales; Brassicaceae. The record is from Rfam.
GGAAUAUAAGAAACCGUCUAUUAACUUUUAACUAAAAAAACUAAGAAUCGGCUCUUAAGUAAGAUAUUUAAGAAUCGGUUCUUAGUUUUUUAGUUAAAAGUUAAGAGAUGGUUUCUUAUAUUCU